This is a long non-coding RNA of Xiphophorus couchianus (Monterrey platyfish), 2386 nucleotides long. RefSeq lists it as uncharacterized. The record is from RefSeq and is a predicted model, not a curated record. The transcript has 3 exons. NCBI's taxonomy places the organism in Eukaryota, Metazoa, Chordata, Actinopteri, Cyprinodontiformes, Poeciliidae.
AAAUAUUUUUCUUUCUGCCAGUUUUCCUUUAUUGCCCAUUCAUUUGUUUACAUUAUAAACCACUUAUACAUCACCAACCACCAAUCUCUUCCUUUGAGUAGUUUUUUUUUUUUUUUACUUUUGUAGAUCAUUUUCACACUAAUGUAAGCAUCAGCAAGUUAACACAUAAAGCUCAGCAUUUCAAGAAACAAGACAGUUUAGUAACAAUAAUACAAAGGGAUUUUUCAGCUUCCAAAAAAAAUUAAAUUAAGAAUUAGCAUCAUAAAAUUAAUUUAUCCAAAGUAAAAAUACAAAAUAAUAUUAAUGACAUGACCAGAUAUGAAGUCUGUAAAGAAACAAAAAUAUAUGAAAUUAAAAAAAUUUUUAAAUAUGUUUGAAUUCCUUUUUUUUUCCGCAAAACUCUUUAAAAAAAAAGAAAAGGAAAAUUUCUCACUACAAAGACUACAUUACUACUGGAAGGUACUAGCAGGUAGAAUAGGUAAAUACACAGUAGAAAAUGAUUUUAGUGGAUCACAAUGCUUGCAAUGAAAAUUAUUUCGCAAUAAGAUUUUAUACCUCUUUUUCUCGUUUUCUUCUUUUCUACAAACGGUAGAGUAUUGCACAUUACGACAAAGAAUCAAGGUUGUUAGCCUUAAAAAGGAGGAAGGGGGCGGGGCUAAUUCAAGUCUCGCGUGAACAGAAAGGCCACCAGUCAAAUUGAUGCACCUUGGGGGCUUUCAAUCAAGCUACAGGUGAAAACAUUUGUGUCUGUUUAGUGUUAAAAAAUAACAUUCUUCUCUUUUCCUGUGUCCAGUGACUUUCAGAAGUCUUUUUGUUUCUCCCAACUACGUCAGGACAGCAAAUCAAUUCUUCUUUUUUAAUUUAUUCUCUUAUUUAUUUUUUUACAAAACAAAAAGAAAAAAAAAACGGGAGCACAUACUUUUAGAAAACAUAAAAAACUUAUUUUUUAAAAAAAUAAACAGGAGAUCUUCCACAACUCUGGUCAGCAUAGAUGAUUGUUUAUAAAUAUUUAAAAAAAAGUGGGAAAUUAGCUUUAAUUUCUUCUCAGAGCACCUGAUAUUUGAGCUUUCUGCUCUCUCAACCAAUUAAACCAGUGGGACUCCUUCUUCUAAACCAGUAAAGUAGACCCUACUAUCACUACGAACAUUAUUAUAUUAGUUAUAAAGCUUUAGCUCCUUCAUUGACUCUCUUUAAAAAAAAUAAAUUCUUAAAAUAAAAACAUUUAAAAAAAUCAUCUCUCUUGAAUAAUUAAAUUAAUAUAUAUUUGUCCAUCUGAAUAAACUUAGAAGAUGUGUUUCUCUCCUAAUAUAUGUCAAAACUGAGGUAUUGCAAAGGAUUUUUUUAAAUCAGUCUUUUCCAAAAAGAAAACAAAAACAAAAAAAACUGCUGACUGUUGCAAACUGUUUUCAGAUACAAAGUAUAGUGCACAACAAAUACAGGAAAAAUAAUAAAAAAUAAUAAUAGAAAACUGGGUAAAAAGGAGGCAAAGAAAUGUUUGAAAAAAUAAAAACUCUCCCCAGAAUUCAUUUGUUAUUAUUCGUCAGAAAUAAUAUCUCUUCUGCUCAAGUCCAAUUAGUUUUUCUUAAACAGAAACACAAAAAAAAUGUCCGUCCAAAAAAGCAGAAAAAACAACAGUUUACGACUGAAAACAGCUACACACACACACACACACACACACACACACAGUUACGUUUCCGUCACCAUCAUCGUUUCUUUUUCAGCUUUUAAUGGAACCCAAAAAUAUAUAAUGUCCACCUUUAUUUUUAUUUCAUUUAUUUAGCAGGUCCGAUACUUCAAGCUUUGCAGGAGACAAAAAAAAAAAAGAUUUUAAAAAAUAAAAAAAUCUGGUGAUUGCGUCACACAUCUUCAUCUCCACCAUUUUCCCCAAUUUAAAAAAAAAUGUAUAUAUGUAUAUAUAUCAGCAUGUGUAAGGGCUCAGUUGAUCAAUCUCAGAUCUCCAGUAGCUUUAUGGGGGUUUUCCGCUUAUUCACUCUCCAAAAUAAAAAUAAGACAAACAAGUGAGCUCUUUGGUUGCGUCAUGACGUAAAAACGUUUCUGUCAAGAGUUGGAACGAACAAUAAAGUUUUGCGUGCGUGAACAAUAUAGUUUUACGUGUUCGUUUUUUUUUUUUUUCGUUUUUCAACCCCGCUCACAUUAUUGUCUUCUCUUCAGGUCAGAUUCGAGGUCUUCGGCCUGAAAACCCUCCGUCCCAGGGGCGACGUAACUACAGCUGUUUCAAACUGGACAAAGCGGGCGCUGAUGGCGGCGAUGUAGCUCUGCUGGUUGGAGAACGCCACGCGCCCGGCUCCCUUCGGAUAUUUCAGCUCCGGGUCCGUGUCGAUGCCGGCGUAGCAAACGCCUCCGUACAGCCGGUCCAUGAUCAUCG